GCUGCUCACGCCAUCGUCGGAAACAGUAUACCUUAGUUUCGCUUUUUGACAUCGUCAAGGCAAGAUCAUAAAAUGAUGAUUAAAGAUCAUUCUAGCUAAAUGAAUAAUUUAAAUUUAGAUAUUCUAAAGCAAUAGAGGAUGUGAUAGAAUACAAAAAGCAUGAAUAUGUUCAAAGUACACGGAUGCCCCACUCGCACUAUCACAAGGAACAUAUUAUUAAGUUUCAAAUUGAUUGGCUGGACUUCAACGUCAUCAAAAACUAUCUUGACCAAAAACUUUAACUUGAAACUUGCCCUAUCAUUUUCUAUGUUAAAUGUAUUGUGAAAUGAUAGGGCAUCAAUCUAAUUUGGCAUUAAAAUAAAAAAACAAGAGGCUGUCACAACGACAGCAAACCGGAUUUAUUAACAUUUAUUUGUAUCCUGCCAAUAUCACAAGAACCAUAACUGAUGAACGGUGAAAGUGAAAAUCGUCAAUAUGAAAUUUGACCUCCAUUUUGUCAUCAGUAUCAACAUAUUAAAAUUUGAAAAGCUUAGGUUUAAUGGUUCAUGAGUAAAUGCACGGACACGACUGGAAAAACCAUUUUUCAAUCUUUCAAG
This 596-nucleotide long non-coding RNA is filed under the name Mytilus galloprovincialis (Mediterranean mussel). The record is from RNAcentral. Lineage: Eukaryota; Metazoa; Mollusca; Bivalvia; Mytilida; Mytilidae.